UACACUUGAUAAAUUUUAUUCCUCAGUUUCGUGAAAGCAAAACUCACACACUUAGUGAAAUUUUUGUCCCUCCAAAACUCACACUUAGCCUUCAUCUCAACCCCUUUCAGAAACCCUGUCACCAUCGAAGAAACCCUUCAAACCUCACCAUCGCGAAGAAACCCUCUCGCUACAGAAACACUCUCACUCACCACUCACCGUCGCUCCUCUUCACCCUCCUCCUUGUCGCUGCGCCGCCCUCACCAUCCUCAUCUCUGCGCUUCUCAUCGUCCUUCCCCUUUCAAUUCGAUUGAGUAACCCUCAUUUCUGCGCUAUAUACUGAGCUUAAUGAAUAUUUUUUCUUUGAUUCGUCACCAAUUCACGCUACCUGCACAAACUCGCACGCCAUCUCCUUCGAUUCGUCGCCACUGCUCAUCUCUUCUUCAAGGGUUUUCACCUUCGAUUCGUCGUCGCUCAUCUCUUCUUCACCGUUGCCAUUCAUCACCGCGCUCACCAAUGUCAAAAAAACUGUGUGCUCUCUAGCAACCUCUUCUCUGCUCUACUGUGAAGCAUCAAGGUUUCCAAUGAGGCAAAGCAUCGAUCCCUUACAAGCGAGGUAACCAGCAAUGAGACCAGUUUGAUGGCUCGAUGUCGUAGUAACAUCCCUUAUCUCUUUAUAUGGUUUAGUGAUUUUAGUAACUCGUAAUUUUCAUUUUCCAUUUCUCCUUCUUCUUCUUAAUUCUCUUGUAUAACCAACCCAAACCUUGAUGAUCUUGGUUGCUAUAGUCUCAUAGGUGAUGUUGGAAUAGUUUUGUUUUUCUAUGAUAAUUUACUGAGAGUUAAAAUUUGUCCAAUUUCUGGAGAUAAUAAAUUUAUUUAAGGGUUAAUGCAGAUAAUUAACUGAAGUGCUGAAGCCAAUUUAUAUCCUGGUGCAAUAACUUCGACACUUCAAAUUACAGAGGUAAUUGGAUACUUACUUUCUCCUUGCUCACAUGUGCUCUAUCAAGCUUAAAGAAUGGACGCUUGUCCUGCUUACUCUGUUAAGAAGUUCUAAGGUGUUUUUUGACUUAUUCAGACAUGAUGUUCGGCUGUGAAAAGCAUGCAGCACCACACUGCAGUUCCUUGUAUCUGUCCAUUGUAGACUCAUUCAAGAUUUAUUGGAAGAGAAAAACUUUGCAACGAUGGAAGAUAUAUGAAGGUGAAUGCAGACUUCAUCUUUGCUCGAUGUACAUCAUAUUUUCUUGCUGACAAAGUUAUAUGUUCGAGUGGUUUCCUUCACGUGGAUCUACUUGAAAGAUCUGAUGGGUUUUAUUCAAACAUAUGGACCAUGGUUAACCAUGGUUUUCAUCACAAGUCAU
Molecule: non-coding RNA, 1337 nt
Organism: Arachis ipaensis
Lineage: Eukaryota; Viridiplantae; Streptophyta; Magnoliopsida; Fabales; Fabaceae
Source: RefSeq, a predicted model, not a curated record